CGUAGGUGGCAAGCGUUGUCCGGAUUUAUUGGGUUUAAAGGGUGCGUAGGCGGCCCUGUAAGUCAGUGGUGAAAUAUCCCAGCUUAACUGAGAGGGUGCCAUUGAUACUGCGGGGCUUGAGUACAGAUGAGGUAGGCGGAAUUGACGGUGUAGCGGUGAAAUGCAUAGAUAUCGUCAAGAACACCGAUAGCGAAGGCAGCUUACCAAGCUGUAACUGACGCUGAGGCACGAAAGUGUGGGGAUCAAACAGGAUUAGAUACCCUGGUAGUCCACACUGUAAACGUUGAUGACUCGAUGUUGGCGAUACACAGCCAGCGUCCAAGAGCAAUCGUUAAGUCAUCCACCUGGGGAGUACGCCGGCAACGGUG
This 368-nucleotide ribosomal RNA is filed under the name uncultured organism. RNAcentral describes it as "bacterial SSU rRNA". It matches the Rfam family "Bacterial small subunit ribosomal RNA", at positions 526 to 896 of the family's 1533-position model. The record is from RNAcentral.